CCCUUAGACGUUCUGGGCCGCACGCGUGCUACACUGACGAAGGCAACGAGCUUUCCUUUACCGAAAGGUACGGGUAAUCUUUUGAAACUUCGUCGUGCUGGGGAUAGAUCCUUGCAAUUUUUGAUCUUAAACGAGGAAUUCCUAGUAAGCACUAGUCAUCAGCUAAUGUUGAUUAUGUCCCUGCCCUUUGUACACACCGCCCGUCGCUACUACUGAUUGGGUGUUCAAGUGAGAUGCUUAGACCCUUGUUGCACGGUUCAUUAUUGUGCUCCGAAAGGAAAAAGUUUCAAGCUUGAGUGUCUAGAGGAAGUAAAAGUCGUAACA
Molecule: ribosomal RNA, 324 nt
Filed under: uncultured eukaryote
Lineage: Eukaryota
Description: partial 18S ribosomal RNA
Rfam family: Eukaryotic small subunit ribosomal RNA
Source: RNAcentral